RNAcentral lists this ribosomal RNA (933 nucleotides) under uncultured bacterium. RNAcentral's name for it is "bacterial SSU rRNA". It matches the Rfam family "Bacterial small subunit ribosomal RNA", at positions 8 to 987 of the family's 1533-position model. The record is from RNAcentral.
AGGGUUUGAUCAUGGCUCAGAACGUACGCUGGCGGCACGCCUAACACAUGCAAGUCGAACGAAGUAGCAAUACUUAGUGGCAGACGGGUGAGUAACAUGUGGGUAUCUGCCCUUUGGCCUGGAAUAACACGAGGAAACUUGUGCUAAUACUGGAUAAGUCUUUACGGAGAAAGCUUUAUGCACCAUUGGAUGAGCCCGCACUUGAUUAGUUUGUUGGUGGGGUAAUGGCCUACCAAGACUUUGAUCAAUAGCUGAUUUGAGAGGAUGAUCAGCCACAUUGGGACUGAGACACGGCCCAAACUCCUACGGGAGGCAGCAGUGGGGAAUCUUGCACAAUGGGGGAAACCCUGAUGCAGCGAUGCCGCGUGAGUGAAGAAGGCCUUUGGGUUGUAAAACUCUUUCGUCGGGGAAGAAAAUGACUGUACCCGAAUAAGAAGGUCCGGCUAACUUCGUGCCAGCAGCCGCGGUAAUACGAAGGGACCUAGCGUAGUUCGGAAUUACUGGGCUUAAAGAGCUCGUAGGUGGUUAAAAAAGUUGAUGGUGAAAUCCCAGAGCUCAACCUUGGAACUGCCAUCAAAACUUUUUAGCUAGAGUGUGAUAGAGGUAAGUGGAAUUUCUAGUGUAGAGGUGAAAUUCGUAGAUAUUAGGAGGAACACCAGUGGCGAAGGCGACUCUCUGGGCCAAUACUGACGCUGAGGUUCGAAAGCAUGGGUAGCGAACAGGAUUAGAUACCCUGGUAGUCCAUGCAGUAAACGAUGAGUGCUAGAUGUUGGGAAUUUAAAUUUCCAGUAUCGCAGUUAACGCGUUAAGCACUCCGCCUGGGAAGUACGGCCGCAAGGCUAAAACUCAAAUGAAUUGACGGGGACCCGCACAAGCGGUGGAUCAUGUGGUUUAAUUCGAAGAUACGCGAAGAACCUUACCGGCCCUUGACAU